Molecule: long non-coding RNA, 3397 nt
Organism: Canis lupus familiaris (dog)
Lineage: Eukaryota; Metazoa; Chordata; Mammalia; Carnivora; Canidae
Exons: 3
Source: RefSeq, a predicted model, not a curated record
ACCCCCCCUGCGCGCCCGCGCCCCCGCCCCGGAGGAGCGCAGCAGCCGGGUUCCGAAGGCCUGGCUUCCGCAGCUGCAGUGAAGGGGUUUGCGGGGAGAGGACGCAGACUCCGAGCAGAGGUUUACCGGCCGCGGCUCAAGUUUCCGAGGCCGCGGGCCGCAUCCGCUCCAUCCAGCGCCGGCCCUCCCGCCUCAGCGCCGACCCCCGGGACCGGCCCCCUCCUCGGCGGGUGCGGCUCGGAGCAUCGCGGCCCGGCCCGGCCCGGCCCGGGCAGGAUCCCAGGGCUCCGCUCCUCGGCUCGGUGCCCGCCAGCCGGCCCGCCUGCCUCCCCUCGCGCUCCCGCUCCCGCUCCGGCUCCCGCUCCCGCUCCCGCUCCCGCUCCCGCUCCCGCUCCCGCUCCCUCCCUCUUGGCUGCUCGCUCCGCGCUCCCUUUUGUUGCAAAUAAACUUUGUGGCUGAGGAAAGGGGGCGGGAGGCGGGGCCUCGCGCCCAAAAGAGGGGGUGGGCUCCGGGCGCGCGCGAGGAAGGGAAUCGGGAUGGGGGGGAGGGAAUCGGGGUGGAGUCGAAGGAGAGAAACAAGACUGCGGGAGCACACGCGGGCCGGAGCGACCCUCCGAGGUCCCCCUCUGGACGAGCGGCUGAGCUGCCCCCCGCGGGACUCGCUCCGACGCACGGAACCCCUGCCGCCGUGCAGCCGAGGCUGCGCACCCACUGCGGGUCAGACGCUUCUGUGCGGUAACACCUUCUGUCCGAGGGACCCCAACAUGGCAACCUCCGACCCGUAAACUGGUACACACCGACCGUCAGGUCCGGCUCUGACCCUCCCACGGCGCUCCAGGUGCUCCACCCUUCGUGGCCACGCCCCCGCCCGCCCGCAAGUUUCCCGCGGCCCACCCUAGGCUCGCCCCCCCACCUGCCCCCGCCGUCUCCGAGGCCCCUCCUCGAUGCCCGCCUCCUGAGCGCCUUGAUACGCGGCUCUUACGCCCUCUACCGGCCGGAUUCGCCCAUCCCAUGGAGUCCAGGACAGAGCCGUUUCUAGCCUACUCCCUUCGCAAAGUCCCUUCAGCCUCACACACAAAAGGAGCUCCAGCUGAAACGACUUGCCACUGCCAAACCGACACACCUACCUGUGGCCCUCCACCCUCCUAACAAAACGAAUGGGUCGCCUCUCCUACUGCAAGCUGAUCCACCGUUGAGCUGGCCUUCCACCUCUGCCCCAGUCUGGCAAGUCUCCCAUUGUACCGGGUACUGGGGCCUUCCCCACCUCCACCUGCCUCGGGGAGGUCCCAUUCAUCCUCAUAGUCCCAGCUUAAGUGCAAGGUGGCUCCUUGACAUCUGAAUGAGCCAAUGGGAAUUUAUGGAGUGCCGUUGAAUAUAUGCGUAAUAUUAUUUCAUUCAUUUUAUUUAAUCCUAGAACCACCCUGUAGGUAGAUAAUAUUGCCUCUUCUCUAUGGGUCAUGAAGGAGAUAUAACUUUGACCAUUGCCAAAGUCAGGAAAUGGCAGUGCCUUCUAUGACUCAAAUUCAGAUUUGAGGACCUUCAAACACCAUGCUCCUCCAGUCUUCACUGGCCCCAGAUCCCUGAUGAAGAAGGGGUUCUCUCUCCUUGAGCCCCCAGCAGCCUCUUCGUUCUCCUUGGGGCUAGGCUCGCCUUCCCCAGAAAGAGAAUAGCGUGGUCUGACUCACUCCCCUCGGCCCAAGAGGACUGUGGCUAGACCUGACUAGUCUGGCAGGCCCUGGGAGCAGGAGGCCCUGGUCCAGAUCAGAGGGACAGGGAUGGGCCUAGGGCAAGAUGGUAGACACUAUGGGAUUGAUUGACCAUGGGCCUUGCCAUUUGCUUCCCCUGGGUUGUGGCAAAUCACUGUAGGGAGAAAACUUUCUCUUUGAGUUGAGACCAGCCUCCUCUAAGUCCCUCACCUCAACUUUGUCUCAGCUCUGCCUCAAAAGGACAUCUCUCCUUCACUGGGGAAUUGAUGGCAAGAAAGAGAACCCUCCUGGCCUAUUGCUCUCUACCUUUGCCUUGCUGUGUGACCUUGUGUGUAUCCUUACACUUCCCCGGGCCUCGGGUGCCUCAUCUGAAAAGUGAGGAGUGGGUCUAGAUUUACCCAAAGGUGCCUCUCUGACUCUGUUUGAAGUCAGACUCUUGUUUCCUCUGAAGUGUUUUUCUACUCUUUUGGGGGAAGUUUUGGUAUUGUGGGGGGACCCUCAUUCUGUGAAUCACUGCUUUCCUCCAUUCACAGUGGUCUCUACCACCUGAAAUUUGUACUUGUUCAAACUCUUUCAUAUCCUAUUUUGUCUUCAUAUCACUUCUGGAAUAGAGGUUUUUAUUCCCAUGUCACAGAUGGGUAAACUGAUGGAGAGGAGCAGGGACUCAGGUCACCUCAGCAUCCUGCAGCUUGGCCUUCAGGGGGGCUGACUGAGGACUUUGGAUCAGGAAUUCCCCUUGGUGGGGAGGGAGAGUGUCUGAUGAUCUAGGCUGGACCUCCACCCAAUGCAACACUCACCCAAUCAGAGAGUGGCUUGGCUGCUUCCAGCACCUCCUGAGUCCUUCCAGCCUCGGUUGCUUCUGAUUCAUGAUGAGACAAAGUCAUCUCCCAGGUACCGAGGGGGCCUGGUUGUGUUUAGCCCUUCAAAGACUUAUCUAGGAGGUGGCUGGAAACAUGGGGAAUCAAGAUGGAGAGGGGGACACUGUGCUGAGAGUCUAGAGCUGGGCCCAGUGCAGGCACCCUCACAGACACGCCAGGUGACCCUCAGCAGGUCGCUCUCUUCCUUUGGGACUUAGGCUCCUCGCCUAUGAAAGGGGAAUGAAAACAACCCCAUCUACCCAGUGACUCACGGUGACCCAGCAAGAUCAGGGCUGUUGGUCCCUUGGAGAAAUCAAGAUAGUAAGGUUGUGAUGAUCACAGUCAUGGCCAAUGAUGGGCCUUGGGUACUUAAGAGGAAGAAAGAUGAGGAAUAGAGGACUCCCAAGAAGCAGUAAGCCCCAGGAAGGAACUGUCUUGGGGGAAUCAGGCUCUUGACUCCAUUCCCAAGUCAAUUAGAAAUGACCUGACAGUGUCCCCUUUCCUGUAUAAUUAGCCCUCAAACGCACAGAAUUGAAUUAUUUAUGACUUUUUGUUCAUGGCAUAUUCUCACCACUUAUUUAAUUGGCUCCCACCACAAAACAAAACAAUUAGGACUUUGACGAUCUCCUACAUCUCAUUAUCUAGCUUCCCUAACCCCUUCUCCUGCUGCCAUACCACCCAGGAUAGCUAUUUCCUCUUGUGCUCAGCGUGCCCUUGCUUCCUUUUUGUAUAGUUUUGUUGCAUCUGUGUAUUCCUCCAAAGUAUGUAUUUUCAUUUUAGUUGUCUUUUUAACUUUAUAAAAAGGGCAUCUUGCUGUGUACAAUUUUCUUGAAA